Non-coding RNA from Chlorocebus sabaeus (green monkey), 148 nucleotides. It matches the Rfam family "Metazoan signal recognition particle RNA". Rfam says of the family: The signal recognition particle (SRP) is a universally conserved ribonucleoprotein. It is involved in the co-translational targeting of proteins to membranes. The eukaryotic SRP consists of a 300-nucleotide 7S RNA and six proteins: SRPs 72, 68, 54, 19, 14, and 9. NCBI's taxonomy places the organism in Eukaryota, Metazoa, Chordata, Mammalia, Primates, Cercopithecidae. The record is from Rfam.
CCUAGACGUGGCAGUGCACAUCUGUAGUCCCAGCUACUCGGGAGGCUGAGACAGGAGGAUCACUUGAGCUCAGGAGUUCAAGGCUGCAGUGAGCUAUGAUUAUGCCACUGCAUUCCAGCCUGGGCAACAAAGCGAGACUCUGUCUCUA